GGCCGCGGCUCGCCACGCCCCCUCGGCGGGCCCGGCGGGGCGGGGCCGGGCCGGGCGGCGCAUGCGGAGUGUUUGGGGUGCUCGGGGCUUUCCCGGCCCGGGCCGGGGCUGCCGGCGGGGGAGAGGUUGCAGCCAAGGAAAGCAUCUCCGAGUGCGGGCACCGGGCACCGCAAAAACAUCCACGCGUCUUUUCCUGGCCGCUCGGGACGCCGCUUCACGGUGCCCCCAGCCCGAGCUGUCCGACCGUGCUCUUCACCUCCUGUCAGUCAGGGUGAACUUGCUCGCCUUGUUUGUGCUCCGGCGGGUCGGUUUUGACUUACCCCUGUGGUAUGUGGAAGCGCCGACUCCAAUAAACUAUUAACUCUUUCCCGUGCUGCCAUCGGGCUACUUUUUGCCGGGACGGCUCCGCUGCCCUUUUAAGGAAAAGCCGGAACCGGGCUCCCGAGUGCGAUGCACAUGUGGGGUCACAGCCCCCGGGGGCCCCGCCGAACCUGCACUCCUCACGGCCCGGCGCACGGCCGGGACAUCCCGCGGGGGGAGUGGUGCCCGCUCGCCUCAGGGGUUCCUUUGUCACGCCGCCCGCUGCCGUCGCGUCCGCGCUCCUCUCCGCGGAGCCCGCUCCAUCUUCCCGCCGGGCUCGGUGCCCCGCUCCAGCCGCUGGGCAUCGCACCUUGCUUGUCGCCACACCGCACCUCUGCCCGCCACCGCCACCCGCAGCUGCUCCGCGGGCGGGAUGUUUGGGGAGAAUCCGAGCGCCGGCCUUCCACCGGAGCGUGGUUCCCGGCGCUUUCCCCGACGAUCGGAUGCCGGCUUGAUCGACUUCCCUUCGCACGGUGCCGGCGGGAUCGCGCCCGGAUUCAGCUCAGGGGAAGGCAAGAGCGUGGUUCAUACAUUCCCGGCGGCAGCCAUGAGCAGGGGUAUCAGUCACCGGUUCCACGUCACGUUCAGCUGUCCGAAGUUGCUGGGCAGGCUGGAAUCCUAAGCACACCAACAGGUUGGCAGGCUGAUCGUUCUGCUUCCAUGGAGCUUGGCAGGUUUGUGAGCACUCCCAAGUCUUUUUCCUCUUGUGUAGUCCAGUACACCUGUAGAGAGAAAGGGAGUUUUACCCCGUGA
Molecule: long non-coding RNA, 1113 nt
Organism: Junco hyemalis (dark-eyed junco)
Lineage: Eukaryota; Metazoa; Chordata; Aves; Passeriformes; Passerellidae
Source: Ensembl